UACGUAGGGUGCGAGCGUUAAUCGGAAUUACUGGGCGUAAAGCGUGCGCAGGCGGUUUUGAAAGACAGGCGUGAAAUCCCCGGGCUCAACCUGGGAACUGCGCUUGUGACUUCAAGACUAGAGUACGGCAGAGGGGGGUAGAAUUCCACGUGUAGCAGUGAAAUGCGUAGAGAUGUGGAGGAAUACCGAUGGCGAAGGCAGCCCCCUGGGCCAGUACUGACGCUCAUGCACGAAAGCGUGGGGAGCAAACAGGAUUAGAUACCCUGGUAGUCCACGCCCUAAACGAUGUCAACUAGGUGUUGGGUGGGUAAAACCAUUUAGUACCGGAGCUAACGCGUGAAGUUGACCGCCUGGGGAGUACGGCCGCAAGGUUAAA
Molecule: ribosomal RNA, 376 nt
Filed under: uncultured bacterium
Lineage: Bacteria
Description: bacterial SSU rRNA
Rfam family: Bacterial small subunit ribosomal RNA
Source: RNAcentral